RNAcentral lists this ribosomal RNA (221 nucleotides) under Geminigera cryophila. RNAcentral describes it as "partial Bacterial small subunit ribosomal RNA". It matches the Rfam family "Bacterial small subunit ribosomal RNA", at positions 92 to 328 of the family's 1533-position model. The record is from RNAcentral. Lineage: Eukaryota; Cryptophyceae; Pyrenomonadales; Geminigeraceae.
UUAGUGGCGGACGGGUGAGUAACGCGUAGGAACAUGUCCAGGGGUGGGGGAUAACGCUGGGAAACUGGCGCUAAUACCGCAUGAGAGCUGAGGCUCAAAGCCUUCGGGUGCCUUUGGAGUGGCCUGCGUCCGAUUAGCUUGUUGGUGGGGUAAUGGCUUACCAAGGCGUCGAUCGGUAGCUGGUCUGAGAGGACGACCAGCCACACUGGGACUGAGACACG